RNAcentral lists this ribosomal RNA (497 nucleotides) under uncultured bacterium. Its description in RNAcentral is "partial 16S ribosomal RNA". It matches the Rfam family "Bacterial small subunit ribosomal RNA", at positions 28 to 507 of the family's 1533-position model. The record is from RNAcentral.
GAUGAACGCUGGCGGCGUGCCUAAUACAUGCAAGUCGAGCGAACAGAUAAGGAGCUUGCUCCUUUGAAGUUAGCGGCGGACGGGUGAGUAACACGUGGGUAACCUACCUAUAAGACUGGGAUAACUUCGGGAAACCGGAGCUAAUACCGGAUAACAUUUAGAACCGCAUGGUUCUAAAGUGAAAGAUGGUUUUGCUAUCACUUAUAGAUGGACCCGCGCCGUAUUAGCUAGUCGGUAAGGUAACGGCUUACCAAGGCGACGAUACGUAGCCGACCUGAGAGGGUGAUCGGCCACACUGGAACUGAGACACGGUCCAGACUCCUACGGGAGGCAGCAGUAGGGAAUCUUCCGCAAUGGGCGAAAGCCUGACGGAGCAACGCCGCGUGAGUGAUGAAGGGUUUCGGCUCGUAAAACUCUGUUAUUAGGGAAGAACAAAUGUGUAAGUAACUGUGCACAUCUUGACGGUACCUAAUCAGAAAGCCACGGCUAACUACGUG